GUAAGAGAAGUAUAAUUUUUACGUUUCAGUUACAUUGAAAAAAUUCUUAGGUUAAGACUCUUAUA
Molecule: transfer RNA, 65 nt
Filed under: Chromodoris orientalis
Lineage: Eukaryota; Metazoa; Mollusca; Gastropoda; Nudibranchia; Chromodorididae
Description: tRNA-Val
Source: RNAcentral